Molecule: non-coding RNA, 214 nt
Organism: Pelobates cultripes (western spadefoot toad)
Lineage: Eukaryota; Metazoa; Chordata; Amphibia; Anura; Pelobatidae
Source: the annotation of a GenBank genome assembly
UACGAAUGGGCUCCAUGGUAUAGCUAUCUGGGGUAUCAAUGUUCAAAUAGGGCAAGUACCGAAUGAACCGGCUUUCGUGUCUUUGCAGGGGAAAGUCAAGCGUUUCAACAUGGGGCCAUAGUCUAAAGGCAGCAGGUGGAUAACCAGGUUCCUCCAAUGCACAGUGGUGAGAUUGGUCUCGUCACAGAUACAAAUUCAGGACUCUUUUUACAAG